Molecule: unclassified non-coding RNA, 402 nt
Filed under: soil metagenome
Description: partial contains 5.8S ribosomal RNA, internal transcribed spacer 2, and large subunit ribosomal RNA
Rfam family: 5.8S ribosomal RNA (bases 1-121)
Source: RNAcentral
GAUGAAGAACGCAGCGAAAUGCGAUAAGUAAUGUGAAUUGCAGAAUUCAGUGAAUCAUCGAAUCUUUGAACGCACCUUGCGCCCUUUGGCCAUUCCGAAGGGCAUGCCUGUUUGAGUAUCAUGAACACCUCAACUCUCAUGGCUCGCCAUGAUGAGCUUGGACUUUGGGGGUCUUGCUGGCCUGUGGUCGGCUCCUCUCAAAUGGAUCAGCUUGCCAGUGUUUGGUGGCAUCACAGGUGUGAUAACUAUCUGCGCUUGUGGUUUUCCAUCAGAUAACCUUCAGUGAUGGAGGUUCGCUGGAGCUCAGAAACGUCUCCCCUAAGCGGGGACAGCCCUUUGAAUGUUUGAUCUCAAAUCAGGUAGGACUACCCGCUGAACUUAAGCAUAUCAAUAAGCGGAGGA